GUCUGGGGGAGGGCGGGGUGUCUUCAAAACAGGCACCGCCUUUCCGGGUUUUCUUGCUUUUUUUCCCCCCUCUCCUUUUCUUGGAGCUGUCGUGACCCAGCUUGUCCCCUCUCCCUGCGGUCGUCGGGACAGCCAGGCUGAGGACAGCGGGAGCCCCCACACGUGCUGAGGGAGGGCCUGCUGGUCCCCGAGGCCAGAGCAGGGCCUGGGCCAGCAUCCAAGCCACAGAGAUUAAUUUCCACGCCAGAAGCCUUGGAGGUGUAGUUGUGCUGCUCUUUAAUUAGGCGUCACAGUCACAGUCCAGUGGGAGAGUCUGGCUCCCUGGGUCGGGCUCUGCUGGGUCCUGCCCUGCUCCCACUCUGGAAGAAGGUCCGGGGACACACGUCAAAGCAGCUCGGAUUCCAGGUUGAGUUGCAGCCCCCGAAUCUACGCCGGAUGCAAAAGGCUGGCUUUGUGCCCUGUGGCAUCUCGUGCCGAGAGGUCCCUUCUGCUCUCAAGUCCUCCUUGGAGACGCCUGGCCACCCAGGAAGUCCCUGGACGCCUUGAGGCCCCUCUUCACGAGGGAGAGGGGUCUGAACUCGUUUCUGGAAGACCCUGGCUCACUAAAUUUCUUGUAUUCUUGGCAAACCAUUUGGCCUGGUCGGAUCUGUUUUCUACUUACCUCAAGGGAUUACUUUAGGAACUGAGGGCUCCAAGCAGCCCCUAAAGCUUGGCCAGCGCCCCCCCAACCCCCCAGGACACCCCCGUAACCACAAACCUCCCCACCGAGCUCCAUGGAGGCAAACUGUUACCAAGGACUAGCAUCCGAGUACAACAACCCUUUAAAUGAGUCCAGAAGACCCGAAAUGGGUGUUUCCUUUGCUUGGGUAUGUGGCACUAAGCAAGAGCCGGCAGCUGAAUCGACCUCAGGGAGGUUCCUCUGUGACUGGCGUCCCCACCACGCCACUU
Molecule: long non-coding RNA, 948 nt
Filed under: Sus scrofa (pig)
Lineage: Eukaryota; Metazoa; Chordata; Mammalia; Artiodactyla; Suidae
Description: lncRNA (ENSSSCG00035038476.1)
Source: RNAcentral